GGUUAAGCGACUAAGCGUACACGGUGGAUGCCCUGGCAGUCAGAGGCGAUGAAGGACGUGCUAAUCUGCGAUAAGCGCCGGUAAGGUGAUAUGAACCGUUAUAACCGGCGAUUUCCGAAUGGGGAAACCCAGUGUGAUUCGUCACACUAUCAUUAACUGAAUCCAUAGGUUAAUGAGGCGAACCGGGGGAACUGAAACAUCUAAGUACCCCGAGGAAAAGAAAUCAACCGAGAUUCCCCCAGUAGCGGCGAGCGAACGGGGAGGAGCCCAGAGCCUGAAUCAGCAUGUGUGUUAGUGGAAGCGUCUGGAAAGGCGCGCGAUACAGGGUGACAGCCCCGUACACAAAAGCGCAUGUGCUGUGAGCUCGAUGAGUAGGGCGGGACACGUGGUAUCCUGUCUGAAUAUGGGGGGACCAUCCUCCAAGGCUAAAUACUCCUGACUGACCGAUAGUGAACCAGUACCGUGAGGGAAAGGCGAAAAGAACCCCGGCGAGGGGAGUGAAAAAGAACCUGAAACCGUGUACGUACAAGCAGUGGGAGCACCCUUUGGGGUGUGACUGCGUACCUUUUGUAUAAUGGGUCAGCGACUUAUAUUCUGUAGCAAGGUUAACCGAAUAGGGGAGCCGUAGGGAAACCGAGUCUUAACCGGGCGUUAAGUUGCAGGGUAUAGACCCGAAACCCGGUGAUCUAGCCAUGGGCAGGUUGAAGGUUGGGUAACACUAACUGGAGGACCGAACCGACUAAUGUUGAAAAAUUAGCGGAUGACCUGUGGCUGGGGGUGAAAGGCCAAUCAAACCGGGAGAUAGCUGGUUCUCCCCGAAAGCUAUUUAGGUAGCGCCUCGUGAAUUCAUCUCCGGGGGUAGAGCACUGUUUCGGCUAGGGGGCCAUCCCGGCUUACCAACCCGAUGCAAACUGCGAAUACCGGAGAAUGUUAUCACGGGAGACACACGGCGGGUGCUAACGUCCGUCGUGAAGAGGGAAACAACCCAGACCGCCAGCUAAGGUCCCAAAGUCAUGGUUAAGUGGGAAACGAUGUGGGAAGGCCCAGACAGCCAGGAUGUUGGCUUAGAAGCAGCCAUCAUUUAAAGAAAGCGUAAUAGCUCACUGGUCGAGUCGGCCUGCGCGGAAGAUGUAACGGGGCUAAACCAU
Molecule: ribosomal RNA, 1148 nt
Filed under: Salmonella enterica subsp. enterica
Lineage: Bacteria; Pseudomonadati; Pseudomonadota; Gammaproteobacteria; Enterobacterales; Enterobacteriaceae
Description: partial 23S ribosomal RNA
Rfam family: Bacterial large subunit ribosomal RNA
Source: RNAcentral